Long non-coding RNA from Oncorhynchus keta (chum salmon), 564 nucleotides. RefSeq lists it as uncharacterized. The record is from RefSeq and is a predicted model, not a curated record. The transcript is spliced from 3 exons. Lineage: Eukaryota; Metazoa; Chordata; Actinopteri; Salmoniformes; Salmonidae.
CUCUACUGUAGUAGGGUUGGAAGGUUAGACAGGUGGUAUGUAUCUGAUCUCUACUGUAGUAGGGUUGGAAGGUUAGACAGGUGGUAUGUAUCUGAUCUCUACUGUAGUAGGGUUGGAAGGUUAGACAGGUGGUAUGUAUCUGAUCUCUACUGUAGUAGGGUUGGAAGGUUAGACAGGUGGUAUGUAUCUGAUCACUACUGUAGUAGGGUUGGAAGGUUAGACAGGUGGUAUGUAUCUGAUCUCUACUGUAGUAGGGUUGGAAGGUUAGACAGGUUAGACAGGUGGUAUGUAUCUGAUCUCUACUGUAGUAGGGUUGGAAGGUUAGACAGGUGGUAUGUAUCUGAUCACUACUGUAGUAGGGUUGGAAGGUUAGACAGGUGGUAUAUAUCUGAUCACUACUGUAGUAGGGUUGGAAGGUUAGACAGGUGGUAUGUAUCUGAUCACUACUGUAGUAGGGUUGGAAGGUUAGACAGGUGGUAUGUAUCUGAUCACUACUGUAGUAGGGUUGGAAGGUUAGACAGGUGGUAUGUAUCUGAUCACUACUGUAGUAGGGUUGGAAGGUUA